GGCCAGGGGCUAAGUGGCAGAGCAUCUACUUUGAAUGCAGAAGGUCCCAGGUUCAAGCACCUGGUGGGGCUG
Podarcis lilfordi (Lilford's wall lizard) is the source of this 72-nucleotide non-coding RNA. The record is from the annotation of a GenBank genome assembly. Lineage: Eukaryota; Metazoa; Chordata; Lepidosauria; Squamata; Lacertidae.